This is a long non-coding RNA of Bos taurus (domestic cattle), 1174 nucleotides long. Lineage: Eukaryota; Metazoa; Chordata; Mammalia; Artiodactyla; Bovidae. The record is from Ensembl.
AUGGGGAAGUAAGCGGUCUCUCCUCUACUCUGCCCUUGAGCAAGCACAAGAGGCCCUCAGCCCCAGACCAGCAGCCAGCGGGUGAGGAAGUGUGAUAGGUGUCACGGGAACAUCUCCCCGUGUACCUUGUCCCCCUCUUCAGCUCUCCAGCCUCUCCAUCUGCUUUUGGGUGACCUCUAAGUCCCAGGGGAGCUGCUGACAUUGCACACCCCCAGGGGGCAUCAUUCCGGCUGUGCAGAAGGUAGACUGUAUGAUGUAGUUCAGGGAAGGCGGGGGAGUGAUAGGUAAUACAUCACCGGGAUGAGGAAGCUGACUCUCCCGGGAAUUUCUCACCCUGGGUCUCUGGGCCCCACUUCAGAGGCAGAAGGGCUGUUCCUCUUGAAAAGAAAGCCAGGCACUCCAUGAGGAAUUCAGAGGAAAGGGCUUGGCAGUCAUCUUGGGAGGAGGCGUGGGUGGCCCCUAAAGGUGAAGGCUGGAUGAACUGAGCCACUUGAGCCCAGCUGUGACGCAAGAGGAAUGCCAUGGCUCAUAAAGGAAAGAAGAGGAGGAGAAGAAGUCCGGUCCCUACUGUCCCCCACCCCAGGAAGACGUCUCUGGGGUCUGGGUGGCCUCUGCCCUCCCCUCCAGGGCAGAGUGGCUCCUUACAACCAGAGCCGAGUGACCUGGGCCGGCAUCUGGGAGCCCCUGCAGCGCCUUCUCAGCUUGCUUGGCCCCAAAUCCUUUUAAAAGCUGCCCAAGCCCACAUACCUUGGUCUAUUUUAAUCAAGGGAGGAACUGGGGCCUGCCGCCAGCCCCGCCUCCACACGUUUAAGGGCCCAGGCUAAUUGUUUCCUCUCUUUCUUGUUAGGAAUUGUCUUUGGAGCUCUAUCUUCUUUCCAGCCGCCCUGGGGGGUUGGGGUGGGGGAGUGGUCAGAAAGAGGAAGAAUUUGGCUGACCAUUGGCCUCGCCUCCAUUCCUCCCUGGGGACUCCGACCACAUCCUGGCUCAGCUGGGAGCGCGCUGAGACACGAUACGGUCCCGAUCACCCUUGGGGGUCCUUGCUGUAGCGCCCGAUCCACGCCAUCCUGAUUCUGCGCUGCCCAGGCCCUCAUCCUGCCUUUGGCCCUGUUAGCAAUCACCGCCACCCCCAUGCCACCAAAAUCGCCACAAUGCAGCAUGUUUUACACAUAGUAGC